Molecule: ribosomal RNA, 437 nt
Filed under: uncultured bacterium
Lineage: Bacteria
Description: partial 16S ribosomal RNA
Rfam family: Bacterial small subunit ribosomal RNA
Source: RNAcentral
CUACGGUGCUGCAGUGGGGAAUAUUGCACAAUGGGGGAAACCCUGAUGCAGCAACGCCGCGUGGAGGAUGACGCAUUUCGGUGUGUAAACUCCUUUUAUAUAGGAAGAUAAUGACGGUACUAUAUGAAUAAGCACCGGCUAACUCCGUGCCAGCAGCCGCAGUAAUACGGAGGGUGCAAGCGUUACUCGGAAUCACUGGGCGUAAAGCGCGCGCAGGCGGCCUUUUAAGUUGGAUGUGAAAGCCUAUGGCUUAACCAUAGAACUGCAUCCAAAACUAUCAGGCUAGAGUCUGGGAGGGGAAGAUGGAAUUAGUUGUGUAGGGGUAAAAUCCGUAGAGAUAACUAGGAAUACCAAAAGCGAAGGCGAUCUUCUGGAACAGUACUGACGCUGAGGCGCGAAAGCGUGGGGAGCAAACAGGAUUAGAUACCCGCGUAGUC